This 347-nucleotide long non-coding RNA is filed under the name Ananas comosus (pineapple). RNAcentral's name for it is "long non-coding RNA (ACOM_LNC043067)". Lineage: Eukaryota; Viridiplantae; Streptophyta; Magnoliopsida; Poales; Bromeliaceae. The record is from RNAcentral.
GAAAACAUGCUGAUGGGGUGGAAUAUGGAUGUUGUAUCGCUGAAAGUAAUUGUCGAGAAGCCUCGCACGUGGAGGGGCAAUUUCGUUUCUAGGACAGUGCUCUGCACGCCUCGAUCCACAGGUCUUUUUUAAUCUUUUUCUUUCCAGUAUUUAUUUUUUAAUUUUUUUUAGAAAUUUUUUUAAACUGAAAUUAAACUUUCAAAUUAUUUUUAAAAAAUAUUUUAAUAAAAGAUCAGAAAGAUUUUCGAAACAUUAUCAUAUUGAAAUCAUAGGAAACGAUCUUUAUUCUCAAAUAACUUAGCUUUUAGAGAGAGGCAUUGUAUCACAUACAUUAUUUCACAUCGUAC